Molecule: ribosomal RNA, 253 nt
Filed under: uncultured bacterium
Lineage: Bacteria
Description: partial 16S ribosomal RNA
Rfam family: Bacterial small subunit ribosomal RNA
Source: RNAcentral
UACGGGGGGGGCAAGCGUUGUUCGGAAUUACUGGGCGUAAAGGGCUCGUAGGCGGCCAACUAAGUCGGAUGUGAAAUCCCCAGGCUUAACCUGGGAACUGCAUCCGAUACUGGAUGGCUUGAAUUCGGGAGAGGGAUGCAGAAUUCCAGGUGUAGCGGUGAAAUGCGUAGAUAUCUGGAGGAAUACCGGUGGCGAAGGCGGCAUCCUGGGCCGAGAUUGACGCUGAUGAGCGAAAGCUAGGGGAGCAAACGGG